This 628-nucleotide ribosomal RNA is filed under the name Zonosaurus haraldmeieri. RNAcentral describes it as "partial 12S ribosomal RNA". The stretch from base 1 to 482 matches the Rfam family "Bacterial small subunit ribosomal RNA", at positions 856 to 1533 of the family's 1533-position model. Lineage: Eukaryota; Metazoa; Chordata; Lepidosauria; Squamata; Gerrhosauridae. The record is from RNAcentral.
CAUACUAACUAUUCGCCAGAAUACUACAAGCAAAACGCUUGAAACUCAAAGGACUUGGUGGUGUCCCAUAUCACCCUAGAGGAGCCUGUCCUAUAAUCGAUACUCCACGUUAAACCUUACCAUCUUUGGUCACUCCAGCCUAUAUACCGCCGUCGCAAGCCUACCCUAUGAAGGCCAUACAGUAGGCAAAACUGCUCACACAAAAACGUCAGGUCAAGGUGUAGCUUAUAAGACGGAAGAGAUGGGCUACAUUUUCUAACUUAGAAAAUACGAACAAUACAAUGAAAUCUUGUAUCAGAAGGAGGAUUUAGCAGUAAAAUAUAAAAGAAAAAUAAUUUUAAACAAGCCCUGGGACGCGCACACACCGCCCGUCACCCUCAUCAAUGACAUAUACAACUAACAUAUACCUUAAAUUUCCCCACAGAUGAGGCAAGUCGUAACAUGGUAAGCGUACUGGAAAGUGCGCUUGGAUUAACAAAAAGUAGCUUAAAACAAAGCAUUCAGCUUACAAUUGAAAAAUGUUAUUUACCAAACCUUUUUGAGCCUUAACCCUAAGCCCACUACAACCUCCCACUCAAUUAAACAACAAAAACAAACCAUUUGACCAGAAUAGUAUCUGAGAGAGAAC